GGACAGUGGUAAUGCAAUGCGUUUUGGGUUUCAAAUACCAAAAUUGGGACAGUGGAAAAUUCCUCAACUGAUUUGGAUGACCAGUAAUAUCGACUGUAACUACUGGGGAUUUCUUAGAACAGUUCUCAAAGGAAUACACCUUACAUUAUGACCCAGGACACAAACAUACACAAAUGUCUACAAACGUACAUAAAUCACCAAUUUAUUGUAAAAGGAUGUAACUCAGAAAAGCCAGAUGGAAAAGAUGCACAGGACAAGGAGACCCAUUGCUUAUGCUGUUGCUUCUACCUGAAACUGCCUCCCCUCAAAUCCCACAUAUUUCUGGGGAACGUCUGCACAUUCUUCAGGUGUCAGGUUAGAUGAGAACUUCUGUUUUUCUUCAUUUUUUUUUUU
This 393-nucleotide long non-coding RNA is filed under the name Equus asinus (donkey). RNAcentral's name for it is "lncRNA (ENSEASG00005034448.1)". Lineage: Eukaryota; Metazoa; Chordata; Mammalia; Perissodactyla; Equidae. The record is from RNAcentral.